GAUGAACGCUGGCGGCGUGCCUAAUACAUGCAAGUCGAGCGAACAGACGAGGAGCUUGCUCCUCUGACGUUAGCGGCGGACGGGUGAGUAACACGUGGAUAGCCUACCUAUAAGACUGGGAUAACUUCGGGAAACCGGAGCUAAUACCGGAUAAUAUAUUGAACCGCAUGGUUCAAUAGUGAAAGACGGUUUUGCUGUCACUUAUAGAUGGAUCCGCGCCGCAUUAGCUAGUUGGUAAGGUAACGGCUUACCAAGGCAACGAUGCGUAGCCGACCUGAGAGGGUGAUCGGCCGCACUGGAGCUGAGACGCGGUCCAGACUCCUGCGGGAGGCAGCAGUAGGGAAUGUUCCGCAAUGGGCGAAAGCCUGACGGAGCAACGCCGCGUGAGUGAUGAAGGUCUUCGGAUCGUAAAACUCUGUUAUUAGGGAAGAACAAAUGUGUAAGUAACUAUGCACGUCUUGACGGUACCUAAUCAGAAAGCCACGGCUAACUACGUG
RNAcentral lists this ribosomal RNA (497 nucleotides) under uncultured bacterium. RNAcentral describes it as "partial 16S ribosomal RNA". It matches the Rfam family "Bacterial small subunit ribosomal RNA", at positions 28 to 507 of the family's 1533-position model. The record is from RNAcentral.